AUUGAACGCUGGCGGCAGGCCUAACACAUGCAAGUCGAACGGUAGCACAGAGAGCUUGCUCUCGGGUGACGAGUGGCGGACGGGUGAGUAAUGUCUGGGAAACUGCCUGAUGGAGGGGGAUAACUACUGGAAACGGUAGCUAAUACCGCAUAACGUCGCAAGACCAAAGAGGGGGACCUUCGGGCCUCUUGCCAUCAGAUGUGCCCAGAUGGGAUUAGCUAGUAGGUGGGGUAACGGCUCACCUAGGCGACGAUCCCUAGCUGGUCUGAGAGGAUGACCAGCCACACUGGAACUGAGACACGGUCCAGACUCCUACGGGAGGCAGCAGUGGGGAAUAUUGCACAAUGGGCGCAAGCCUGAUGCAGCCAUGCCGCGUGUAUGAAGAAGGCCUUCGGGUUGUAAAGUACUUUCAGCAGGGAGGAAGGUGUUGUGGUUAAUAACCGCAGCAAUUGACGUACC
Molecule: ribosomal RNA, 459 nt
Filed under: uncultured bacterium
Lineage: Bacteria
Description: bacterial SSU rRNA
Rfam family: Bacterial small subunit ribosomal RNA
Source: RNAcentral